CCGUUUUCAGCAAUGUAAACACCUUUUCCUUGAGCCAAGUCAUCCCAUACUGUGCCUUCAUACCUUAAAGCCAAAAUAAUAAAAAGAGAGAUAAGAAAGCCACUUAGAUCAAGAUGCAAGUAUCUUUCCAUCACAAAGCUACCCAAACAGUCCUAUCUAAAACUCAACCUACAUUGCCAUUUCCUCCAGCUCCAGAAUCCAAACUCGACUUAAAUAAGAAGAAUACUAAACAUAAAAUGCAAAGCUUCGAAGCCAAGCCAACAUGGAGCUCAGAUAACAACAAACGAAGAAAGUUACUAGCUUUAUUAGUAUUAUGAUCCAAAUAGGUCUAUGCGGUGCCUAGGCGUCUGCUUAGUAAGUGUUGGCCUAAUCAAUAAUCCCAUAUAAAACGCCUAACUAGCCCUUAGCCAUUUCUUACGAGCUGCCAUCAGGGAAGAUGUAGCUGACCCACUGAAGAAACUCCUCAAUCCUAUCAAGCUCCUCAACAACAGCCUUAGGAGUAUCAAUAUCAUAGUGAUUAUCCGGAAUCGCCGGGUACGGCUUCCUAUAGGGGACAUAGAAAGGCUGAAUCCCAGGAUCCCUCCCUUCCUGAAUCUCCUCGUUCACCACCUCCCAAUCCUCCUCCUCCGCCCACACCGGGUCCCACCCCGGCUUCGUCAUCUCCGGCGGCGCGUCCGCCCACACCUCCCUCAGAUCCUCCUCCUUCCACCGCUCGGGGUCCUUCGGGAAGUCGAAGAGGUCCUCGUAGAACUUGUACUUCCUCUCCUCCUCCUCCUGGAUCCGCUUCACGCGCUUCCCCUCCAGCACGCGGUUGAACCGCCGGAUGUUGGUCUCCGGUGUUGUGUUCGGGUCGGGUGGUAGGUCGCUCCACACAUCAUCUUCUUCAUAAAAGUAAGCAUGUUGAGGAUCACCGUAUGGGCCCCUUUCUUCUCUAACCACUGCAUUUAUAGAAGAAGAAAAACACCUAUUAGCUCCCAACUAAACUAAUACCAGAAGUAAUGGUAAAGAUUACAGAAGAGGGGUAAUACUUCCAUCGGGUUUGUUUACAAACAUUCGAGCCUUAGCUGCAGCAACCUCCGCCAAACCAGAAUGCAGCUGGAAAACGUUUUCACAUCAGUAUAUUUAUCAAUACUUCUCCUAUAUUGCUGGAAGUUACAUGUAUCAUUGAGAGAGAGAAUAAUGGGUAACUACCGCACAAAUAUCUACGGUACAGCCAUGCUCCUCCUCCAAUAGCUCUCCAAAGUAGAAUCUACCCUGCAUCGUCAUUAUGAUGUGUAAACUUGUGUCACAACCACGAAUAUUCACUUCAUGGAGGACAAGAUUAUACUUAACCCAUCAUGGAUUCAUACGAGGGAUACCAAAUACAGAAGCUAUAUCGAACUCUGAUGCCAAAGACCAGCUAUUACUACUACUUACAUAUAGGAUGCGCUCGUUAACUUCGUAGACACCACACCCAUGCAUUCUACCAUGCUUCCAUUGACCAGCAUAGCGAUACCGACCUUUCUCCCUGGUUAUACAAAAUCAUAUAAUAUACGAUGUGUGAAUUAAGUAAUAAAGAAGAAAUCAACUAAAUUACAUGAUUUUGCUUGAUAUUUUAGUCAAAGUCAAGCAAAUAUAAAUCAUCAUAUUAAACCAAACCACUCAAAUCAUUGUUGAGAUGCAAUGCAGGCCAUCUAGUAACAGAAAAUAUCAUUGCAAAACUCACGGUUUUUCGCCAAACUGAGUGAUCCACUCUUCGUUUUCAUAGUAAGGAACUUGGUAAUUCCCAUCAGUUAGCGCAACACUGUCCUCGACAUCCAUUUCCAACCACUUCCUGUCUUCUGGAGACAUAUAAUCUCUCUUGAUAAUCCUUCCUUCAGCACGCAUCUUCUCUUCAAGCCUGCAUGAGACCGAGAGAACAAUAUCAUGCUCAAACGAAUAAGUCCAUAAAUAUCCCACUGGAAGACUGAUUAAUACUAGGAAUGAUGAUAACCAUACUUGGAACCUGGCAUGGGCUCAAUGUCAGGGAUAUCAACUUCAACAACCCCAUGACCUUCCAUAUCAUUCUGAAGCCAUUCACCCUCAUACCUAAAGAUUCAUAUACAGAGCCAAAAACAAAUUAUCUUAAAACACUAACAAUAGAACGAAAAACAAACGGUAAAACUAUGGAAAUAGAGAUAUCAUCACACCUCACAAGCCCGUUUUCAGCAAUGUAAACACCUUUUCCUUGAGCCAAGUCAUCCCAUACUGUGCCUUCAUACCUUAAAGCCAAAAUAAUAAAAAGAGAGAUAAGAAAGCCACUUAGAUCAAGAUGCAAGUAUCUUUCCAUCACAAAGCUACCCAAACAGUCCUAUCUAAAACUCAACCUACAUUGCCAUUUCCUCCAGCUCCAGAAUCCAAACUCGACUUAAAUAAGAAGAAUACUAAACAUAAAAUGCAAAGCUUCGAAGCCAAGCCAACAUGGAGCUCAGAUAACAACAAACGAAGAAAGUUACUAGCUUUAUUAGUAUUAUGAUCCAAAUAGGUCUAUGCGGUGCCUAGGCGUCUGCUUAGUAAGUGUUGGCCUAAUCAAUAAUCCCAUAUAAAACGCCUAACUAGCCCUUAGCCAUUUCUUACGAGCUGCCAUCAGGGAAGAUGUAGCUGACCCACUGAAGAAACUCCUCAAUCCUAUCAAGCUCCUCAACAACAGCCUUAGGAGUAUCAAUAUCAUAGUGAUUAUCCGGAAUCGCCGGGUACGGCUUCCUAUAGGGGACAUAGAAAGGCUGAAUCCCAGGAUCCCUCCCUUCCUGAAUCUCCUCGUUCACCACCUCCCAAUCCUCCUCCUCCGCCCACACCGGGUCCCACCCCGGCUUCGUCAUCUCCGGCGGCGCGUCCGCCCACACCUCCCUCAGAUCCUCCUCCUUCCACCGCUCUGGGUCCUUCGGGAAGUCGAAGAGGUCCUCGUAGAACUUGUACUUCCUCUCCUCCUCCUCCUGGAUCCGCUUCACGCGCUUCCCCUCCAGCACGCGGUUGAACCGCCGGAUGUUGGUCUCCGGUGUUGUGUUCGGGUCGGGUGGUAGGUCGCUUGGCCGGAUGUAGUUGAAGCCGUCGGUUUCGCGUUCCGGUUCGCCUUCGGAGGAUGAGUCCGAGUCCGAGCCCGAGUCCGAGUCCGAGCCGGGUUCUUCGUCCGAGUUAGCAUUGGGGGAUUUUUGGUCUUCUUCUUCUUCAUCGCUCGGGGAGUCAUUUUGCGGCUGUGACUCGGUGAGUUCGGGUGAAUCGUCGUCGUUGUUAGCCAUGGGAAAGAGAUGGAAGGAAGUGAGUGUUGAAGAGUGUGUGUGCGCGGAUAAGCUUUGCCAAGGGUGAGGUUUUUUUUUUUUUUGUAUAGAACGAACACUGAAACAGAU
RNAcentral lists this long non-coding RNA (3362 nucleotides) under Brassica napus (rape). RNAcentral describes it as "long non-coding RNA (BNAP_LNC023539)". Lineage: Eukaryota; Viridiplantae; Streptophyta; Magnoliopsida; Brassicales; Brassicaceae. The record is from RNAcentral.